RNAcentral lists this ribosomal RNA (423 nucleotides) under uncultured archaeon. Its description in RNAcentral is "partial 16S ribosomal RNA". It matches the Rfam family "Archaeal small subunit ribosomal RNA", at positions 323 to 746 of the family's 1478-position model. The record is from RNAcentral.
CUACGGGCCGCUCCAGCUAGGAAACUUCUACAAUGCACGAAAGUGUGAUAGAGCAAGCCAGAGUGAUUCCCUCUAUUUGGGAAUCUUUUAUGCGAUGUAAAAAGUCGCAGGAAUAAGGACCGGGCAAGACUGGUGCCAGCCGCCGCGGUAAUACCAGCGGUCCAAGUCGCAAUCAAUUUUAUUGGGUCUAAAACAUCCGUAGCUUGUGUGGUCAGUCUCUUGUGAAAUCCUGUGUCUUAAGCGCAGAAGUGCAAGAGAUACUGCCAUGCUAGAGACCGGGAGGGGUACGGAGUACGAUUAGAGUAGCGGUUAAAUGCGUUGAUCCUUUUCGGACUCACGAUAGCGAAGGCACCGUACCAGAACGGAUCUGACAGUCAGGGAUGAAGGCUAGGGGCGCAAAACGGAUUAGAUACCCGAGUAGUC